Molecule: transfer RNA, 73 nt
Filed under: Erysipelotrichaceae bacterium
Lineage: Bacteria; Bacillati; Bacillota; Erysipelotrichia; Erysipelotrichales; Erysipelotrichaceae
Description: tRNA-Thr
Rfam family: tRNA
About the family: Transfer RNA (tRNA) molecules are approximately 80 nucleotides in length. Their secondary structure includes four short double-helical elements and three loops (D, anti-codon, and T loops).
Source: RNAcentral
GCCGGCAUAGCUCAGCUGGUAGAGCAAAUCAUUCGUAAUGAUUAGGUCGCAGGUUCAAGUCCUGUUGCCGGCA